This 88-nucleotide transfer RNA is filed under the name Chitinispirillales bacterium. RNAcentral's name for it is "tRNA-Ser". It matches the Rfam family "tRNA". From Rfam's summary of the family: Transfer RNA (tRNA) molecules are approximately 80 nucleotides in length. Their secondary structure includes four short double-helical elements and three loops (D, anti-codon, and T loops). Lineage: Bacteria; Pseudomonadati; Fibrobacterota; Chitinispirillia; Chitinispirillales. The record is from RNAcentral.
GGAGAGGUGGCAGAGUGGUCGAAUGCGGCGGACUCGAAAUCCGUUGUAGGGCUUGUUUCUACCGAGGGUUCGAAUCCCUCCCUCUCCG